UUCCGUAGGUGAACCUGCGGAAGGAUCAUUGUCGAGACCU
This 40-nucleotide ribosomal RNA is filed under the name Phyllanthus trachygyne. RNAcentral's name for it is "partial 18S ribosomal RNA". The record is from RNAcentral. Lineage: Eukaryota; Viridiplantae; Streptophyta; Magnoliopsida; Malpighiales; Phyllanthaceae.